Molecule: ribosomal RNA, 475 nt
Filed under: uncultured bacterium
Lineage: Bacteria
Description: bacterial SSU rRNA
Rfam family: Bacterial small subunit ribosomal RNA
Source: RNAcentral
GAUUCUGGCUCAGGAUGAACGCUGGCGGCGUGCCUAACACAUGCAAGUCGAGCGAUUACUUCGGUAAAGAGCGGCGGACGGGUGAGUAACGCGUGGGUAACCUGCCUCAUACACAUGGAUAACAUACCGAAAGGUAUGCUAAUACAGGAUAAUAUAAGAGAUUCACAUGGAUUUCUUAUCAAAGCUCCGGCGGUAUGAGAUGGACCCGCGUCUGAUUAGCUAGUUGGUAAGGUAAUGGCUUACCAAGGCGACGAUCAGUAGCCGACCUGAGAGGGUGAUCGGCCACAUUGGAACUGAGACACGGUCCAAACUCCUACGGGAGGCAGCAGUGGGGAAUAUUGCACAAUGGGCGAAAGCCUGAUGCAGCAACGCCGCGUGAGUGAUGAAGGCCUUCGGGUCGUAAAACUCUGUCCUCAAGGAAGAUAAUGACGGUACUUGAGGAGGAAGCCCCGGCUAACUACGUGCCAGCAGCCGC